Molecule: transfer RNA, 76 nt
Filed under: Aeromonas phage APT65
Lineage: Duplodnaviria; Heunggongvirae; Uroviricota; Caudoviricetes; Grimontviridae
Description: tRNA-Thr
Rfam family: tRNA
About the family: Transfer RNA (tRNA) molecules are approximately 80 nucleotides in length. Their secondary structure includes four short double-helical elements and three loops (D, anti-codon, and T loops).
Source: RNAcentral
GCCUCGUUAGCACAGUUGGUAGUGCAACUGAUUUGUAAUCAGUAGGUCGUGGGUUCGAAUCCUACACGGGGCACCA